AAUAAUUCAUCCGAUUUGACUUACC
This 25-nucleotide non-coding RNA is filed under the name Arabidopsis thaliana (thale cress). The record is from RNAcentral. Lineage: Eukaryota; Viridiplantae; Streptophyta; Magnoliopsida; Brassicales; Brassicaceae.